Molecule: ribosomal RNA, 465 nt
Filed under: uncultured bacterium
Lineage: Bacteria
Description: partial 16S ribosomal RNA
Rfam family: Bacterial small subunit ribosomal RNA
Source: RNAcentral
GACGAACGCUGGCGGCGUGCUUAACACAUGCAAGUCGAACGGAAAGGCCCUGCUUGCAGGGUACUCGAGUGGCGAACGGGUGAGUAACACGUGGGUGAUCUGCCCUGCACUUCGGGAUAAGCCUGGGAAACUGGGUCUAAUACCGGAUAGGAGCCAUUUUUAGUGUGAUGGUUGGAAAGUUUUUUCGGUGUAGGAUGAGCUCGCGGCCUAUCAGCUUGUUGGUGGGGUAAUGGCCUACCAAGGCGGCGACGGGUAGCCGGCCUGGGAGGGUGGACGGCCACAUUGGGACUGGGAUACGGCCCAGACUCCUACGGGAGGCAGCAGUGGGGAAUAUUGCACAAUGGGCGCAAGCCUGAUGCAGCGACGCCGCGUGGGGGAUGACGGCCUUCGGGUUGUAAACUCCUUUCGCUAGGGACGAAGCUUUUUGUGACGGUACCUAGAAAAGAAGCACCGGCUAACUACGUG